Molecule: long non-coding RNA, 253 nt
Organism: Notolabrus celidotus (New Zealand spotty)
Lineage: Eukaryota; Metazoa; Chordata; Actinopteri; Labriformes; Labridae
Exons: 2
Source: RefSeq, a predicted model, not a curated record
GCUCUGCUCACCUGCACUGGAUCUGCAAUCACACUCCUGCCAGCCAUCAUCCAAUCACCACAGCCUACAAGAACCCUGCACCAACAUCCAGUCCCUGCUGGAUCGUUAUGCCUACAUGGACCCUUCAGCUACAAGCUCUGCCACCGUCUUCACUCUCCUGCCUGUUGACCACCGUCUGGAUCCCUCAGCACCCCAGGACCCCCACCAGCUAUCCCCUCACCCUGCACUUCAACAAUAAACUUUGGGAAAGACA